Molecule: ribosomal RNA, 440 nt
Filed under: uncultured bacterium
Lineage: Bacteria
Description: partial 16S ribosomal RNA
Rfam family: Bacterial small subunit ribosomal RNA
Source: RNAcentral
CCUACGGGAGGCAGCAGUGGGGGAUAUUGCACAAUGGGGGGAACCCUGAUGCAGCGACGCCGCGUGGGUGAAGAAGCGCCUCGGCGCGUAAAGCCCUGUCAGCAGGGAAGAAAAUGACGGUACCUGAAGAAGAAGCCCCGGCUAACUACGUGCCAGCAGCCGCGGUAAUACGUAGGGGGCAAGCGUUAUCCGGCGUUACUGGGUGGAAAGGGGGCGCAGACGGCGAUGCAAGCCAGGAGUGAAAGCCCGGGGCCCAACCCCGGGACUGCUCUUGGAACUGCGUGGCUGGAGUGCAGGAGGGGCAGGCGGAAUUCCUGGUGUAGCGGUGAAAUGCGUAGAUAUCAGGAGGAACACCGGUGGCGAAGGCGGCCUGCUGGACUGCAACUGACGUUGAGGCCCGAAAGCGUGGGGAGCAAACAGGAUUAGAUACCCUAGUAGUC